RNAcentral lists this ribosomal RNA (459 nucleotides) under uncultured bacterium. Its description in RNAcentral is "partial 16S ribosomal RNA". It matches the Rfam family "Bacterial small subunit ribosomal RNA", at positions 338 to 795 of the family's 1533-position model. The record is from RNAcentral.
CCUACGGGAGGCUGCAGUGAGGAAUAUUGGUCAAUGGCCGGAAGGCUGCACCAGCCAUGCCGCGUGAAGGUCAGUGCCCUAUGGGCGUUAAACUUCUUUUGUGCUGGAGCAAUAAUGGUCAAGUGUGGCCCGACGAGAGUACCGUACGAAUAAGCAUCGGCUAACUCCGUGCCAGCAGCCGCGGUAAUACGGGGGAUGCAAGCGUUAUCCGGAUUUAUUUGGUUUAAAGGGAGCGUAGAUGGGUUGUUAAGUCAGUUGUGAAAGUUUGCGGCUCAACCGUAAAAUUGCAAUUGAUACUGGCAGUCGUGAGUACAGUUGAGGUAGGCGGAAUUCGUGGUGUAGCGGUGAAAUGCUUAGAUAUCACGAAGAACUCCGAUUGCGAAGGCAGCUUACUAAACUGCCACUGACAUUGAUGCUCGAAAGUGUGGGUAUCAAACAGGAUUAGAUACCCGUGUAGUC